GCAGAGGAGCCCAGUCCUGGUUCCCACUCGGUGAACAGGACUAAGAACAGACAGCUCAUCAUGGAGUUUGGGCUCAGUUGGGUUUUCCUGUUUGCACUUCUGAGAGGUGUCCAGGCUGAGGAGAAGCUGGUGGAGUCUGGUGGAGGCUUGGUGCCACCUGGGGGUUCCCUGAAACUUUCCUGCGUGGCGUCAGGAUUCACCUUCAGUAGCUAUGGCAUGAGCUGGGUCCGCCAGGCUCCAGGGAAGGGGCUGGAGUGGAUCACAUCUGUCGGUACCAAAGGUAACACAUACUACGCAGAGUCCCUGAAGGACCGAUUCACCAUCUCCAGGGACAACGGCAAGAACACGCUGUAUCUGCAGAUGAGCAGGCUGAUACCCGAGGACUUGGCAGUGUAUUACUGUGCAAGAGACACACUGAGGGAACAUCAGUGUGAGCCCAGACAAAAAGCUCCCUGA
Molecule: non-coding RNA, 456 nt
Organism: Cavia porcellus (domestic guinea pig)
Lineage: Eukaryota; Metazoa; Chordata; Mammalia; Rodentia; Caviidae
Source: the annotation of a RefSeq genome assembly